AAUCAGGAUCUUCAUUUCCUAUUUCUUCAACUCAGCUGCUUCAGGCUGCCUCCCCUCAAUUAUCUCAGCAUUCAUCUCCACAAGUUGAUCAGCAAAAUCUACCAUCAUCUCUAACAAAAACCGGAACCCCUUUACAGUCUGCAAAUUCUCCUUUUGUUGUCCCAUCUCCUUCAACUCCUUUAGCUCCAUCCCCUAUUCCAGGAGAUUCUGAGAAACCAGUAUCUGGUAUUUCCUCUCUUUCAAAUGCUGGAAAUGUUGGACAGCAACAAACAACUGGUGCUCAAGCAACUGCUCCAUCCCUUGCAAUUGGCACUCCUGGGAUAUCGGCCUCACCUUUGCUUGCAGAGUUUACCGGUUCUGAUGGUGCACAUGGCAAUGCUUUAACCACUGCUUCUGGCAAGUCAAGUGUCACAGAGCAACCUCUUGAGCGCUUGAUUAAAGCGGUUAAGUCUAUGUCCCCUAAAGCACUGAGUGCCUCUGUCACUGACAUUGGCUCAGUUGUCAGUAUGAUUGACAGAAUUGCAGGAUCAGCCCCAGGUAAUGGAUCUAGAGCUGCAGUGGGUGAGGAUUUGGUAGCAAUGACAAAUUGUCGGCUUCAGGCAAGAAAUCUUACCAUCCAAGAUGGAAUGACUGGGACAAGGAAAAUGAGGCGAUAUACAAGUGCCAUGCCCUUGAAUAUUGGAUCAUCAGCUAGUAGCAUAAGUGACAGUUUUAAGCAGUUGAAUGGUCCAGAGACAUC
This 739-nucleotide unclassified non-coding RNA is filed under the name Hevea brasiliensis (rubber tree). Lineage: Eukaryota; Viridiplantae; Streptophyta; Magnoliopsida; Malpighiales; Euphorbiaceae. The record is from RNAcentral.